AUUGAACGCUGGCGGCAGGCCUAACACAUGCAAGUCGAGCGGUAGAGCGAAGCUUGCUUCUCUUGAGCGCGGCGGACGGGUGAGUAAUGCCUAGGAAUCUGCCUGGUAGUGGGGGAUAACGUUCGGAAACGGACGCUAAUAUCGCAUACGUCCUACGGGAGAAAGCAGGGGACCUUCGGGCCUUGCGCUAUCAGAUGAGCCUAGGUCGGAUUAGCUAGUUGGUGGGGUAAUGGCUCACCAAGGCGACGAUCCGUAACUGGUCUGAGAGGAUGAUCAGUCACACUGGAACUGAGACACGGUCCAGACUCCUACGGGAGGCAGCAGUGGGGAAUAUUGGACAAUGGGCGAAAGCCUGAUCCAGCCAUGCCGCGUGUGUGAAGAAGGUCUUCGGAUUGUAAAGCACUUUAAGUUGGGAGGAAGGGCAGUAAAUUAAUACUUUGCUGUUUUGACGUUACCGACAGAAUAAGCACCGGCUAACUCUGUG
RNAcentral lists this ribosomal RNA (484 nucleotides) under uncultured bacterium. Its description in RNAcentral is "partial 16S ribosomal RNA". It matches the Rfam family "Bacterial small subunit ribosomal RNA", at positions 30 to 507 of the family's 1533-position model. The record is from RNAcentral.